This 73-nucleotide transfer RNA is filed under the name Phaeodactylibacter sp. RNAcentral's name for it is "tRNA-Glu". It matches the Rfam family "tRNA". Rfam says of the family: Transfer RNA (tRNA) molecules are approximately 80 nucleotides in length. Their secondary structure includes four short double-helical elements and three loops (D, anti-codon, and T loops). The record is from RNAcentral. Lineage: Bacteria; Pseudomonadati; Bacteroidota; Saprospiria; Saprospirales; Haliscomenobacteraceae.
GCCCCGUUCGUCUAGAGGCCUAGGACGCCAGGUUUUCAUCCUGGUAACACGGGUUCGAAUCCCGUACGGGGUA